RNAcentral lists this unclassified non-coding RNA (154 nucleotides) under uncultured soil eukaryote. RNAcentral's name for it is "sequence contains ITS2". The record is from RNAcentral.
AACCCUUCAAGCUCUGCUUGGUGUUGGGCGCUUGUCCCACCUUUGGUGAGGACUCGCCUUGAAGUAGUUGGCGGCCGUUCUGUAGGGCUAUGAGCGCAGUACAUCUCGCUGCUUCAGCUCCCCAGCCAGCGUCCAGCAAGCGCAUACCAAAGAA